AUUGAACGCUGGCGGCAUGCCUUACACAUGCAAGUCGAACGGUAACAGGUCUUCGGAUGCUGCCGCGUGGCGAACGGGUGAGUAAUACAUCGGAACGUGCCCGCUCGUGGGGGAUAACGAGGCGAAAGCUUUGCUAAUACCGCAUACGAUCUACGGAGGAAAGCGGGGGAGCUUCGGACCUCGCGCGGACGGAGCGGCCGAUGGCAGAUUAGGUAGUUGGUGGGAUAAAAGCCUACCAAGCCGACGAUCUGUAGCUGGUCUGAGAGGGUGAGCAGCCACACUGGGACUGAGACACGGCCCAGACUCCUACGGGAGGCAGCAGUGGGGAAUUUUGGACAAUAGGCGAAAGCCUGAUCCAGCCAUGCCGCGUGCAGGAUGAAGGCCUUCGGGUUGUAAACUGCUUUUGUACGGAACGAAAAGCCUCUUUCUAAUAAAGAGGGGUCAUGACGGUACCGUAAGAAUAAGCACCGGCUAACUACGUG
This 482-nucleotide ribosomal RNA is filed under the name uncultured bacterium. Its description in RNAcentral is "partial 16S ribosomal RNA". It matches the Rfam family "Bacterial small subunit ribosomal RNA", at positions 30 to 507 of the family's 1533-position model. The record is from RNAcentral.